RNAcentral lists this ribosomal RNA (604 nucleotides) under Plateros sp. UPOL A00470. RNAcentral describes it as "partial 16S ribosomal RNA". The stretch from base 378 to 536 matches the Rfam family "Bacterial large subunit ribosomal RNA", at positions 2473 to 2632 of the family's 2925-position model. The record is from RNAcentral. Lineage: Eukaryota; Metazoa; Arthropoda; Insecta; Coleoptera; Lycidae.
CAUGUCCUUUUGGUAAUAAUUUAAGGUUUAAUCUGCACAAUGAAAGUUAAAUUGCCGCAGUAUUUUGACUGUGCAAAGGUAGCAUAAUAAUUAGUUUCUUAAUUAGGAACUGGAAUGAAUGAUUGGACGAGAAAAUUUCUGUCUCUUGUUAAAGAAUUUUUGAAUUUUAUUUUUAAGUUAAAAAGCUUAAAUUUUUAUGAAAGACGAGAAGACCCUAUAGAGUUUUAUAUUUAUUGUUAAUUGUAUGUUAGUAAUUUUUUUUGCAGUAAGUAUUUGUUUGGGGUGAUUGGGGGAUUUAUUAAAUUCUUUUUCUAUUUGAUUGAUGAUUAUUAAUUUCUUUAUCUAAAUUUUUUAAAUUUAAAAUUAAUUACCUUAGGGAUAACAGCGUAAUUUUUCUUUAAAGCUCUUAUUGAAAGAAAAUUUUGCGACCUCGAUGUUGGAUUAAAAUAGAUUUUUGGUGCAGUAACUUAAAAAUUAGGUCUGUUCGACCUUUAAUAUUUUACAUGAUCUGAGUUUAGACCGGCGUAAGCCAGGUUGGAUUCUAUCUUUAGAUUAAUUAUAUAUUUUAGUACGAAAGGACCAAGUAUAUAUUAUAUAUUAAUUA